GAUGAAGAACGCAGCGAAAUGCGAUAAGUAAUGUGAAUUGCAGAAUUCAGUGAAUCAUCGAAUCUUUCAACGCACAUUGCGCCCGCCAGUAUUCUGGCGGGCAUGCCUGUUCGAGCGUCAUUACAACCCUCAGGCCCCCGGGCCUGGCGUUGGGGAUCGGCGGAAGCCCCCUGCGGGCACAACGCCGUCCCCCAAAUACAGUGGCGGUCCCGCCGCAGCUUCCAUUGCGUAGUAGCUAACACCUCGCAACUGGAGAGCGGCGCGGCCACGCCGUAAAACACCCAACUUCUGAAUGUUGACCUCGAAUCAGGUAGGAAUACCCGCUGAACUUAAGCAUAUCAAUAAGCGGAGGA
Molecule: unclassified non-coding RNA, 353 nt
Filed under: soil metagenome
Description: partial contains 5.8S ribosomal RNA, internal transcribed spacer 2, and large subunit ribosomal RNA
Rfam family: 5.8S ribosomal RNA (bases 1-120)
Source: RNAcentral